Long non-coding RNA from Daphnia pulex (common water flea), 698 nucleotides. RefSeq lists it as uncharacterized. The record is from RefSeq and is a predicted model, not a curated record. The transcript has 3 exons. NCBI's taxonomy places the organism in Eukaryota, Metazoa, Arthropoda, Branchiopoda, Diplostraca, Daphniidae.
UGGUAACCUGUCACCAGCAACAAUCUCAGGAUCAUCGUAUUGGAUAAAAAGCAUCCCAUUGCAUCGGAAUGCAAUCGAAGGCAUUGGCAAUCGAGUUGCCGAUCUCUCUUUUCCCCCUUUCUUCAAUUGUCCUCGUGUAUGCCCGUGUGAAUGUGGGUGUAUUCACGAGGACACCCUUUAGCCUGUUCUGGUGCCAUUUAACUCUUCUGCGGAUGGAUGGAGCAACUAUGGAUGCCUGGCUGUAUUUCCCAGGCAUAAAGAUUCCACGUAUAUUCAGAUGUCAGACGAGAAAAAUGGAACCAGUGGAACAAUGGCGAAUUAUUUCAAGCAAGAGUGGUUUCCUCAUAUUACGUCAAGUCGGCGUCAAGAACUAGCUAGAAUUGAUCCCUUAACUUCGCCAAAAACUGCAUACAACUUAAUAAUUCAGUUUUGUCAGCCAUGUACGUAGAAGCGAUCUUCUCAUUAUUUGUAGAACUUUUAUACGAUAAACAGGUAGAACCCAGCAACCCGAAUUGAUCCAUCAACCUUUGGGGAAUAAAAAUACUCGUAUUAAUAACGUAUUUUUCAACUUGAGACUUCAAAACUGCGACAUGAAAUUUUAAGAUCGACACUGUCGUUCAAUUGUGGAUCCCAAAUCGCCUUUAAAUUUAAAUAUUUAAGAAUAAGGUAAAUAACUUUUGAUUCUUGAAACCUUCUCG